GGGUCAGUAGGUUGGUCAUGCCUCAGGUAUGCACUGGUCUCACUGAUUCCUCCUUCCUGAUGAGCCGUAAUGCCAUUAAUUUGGUGUUGCGAGGAAUCUGGACUGUUACUUUGAAAAAAUUAGAGUGUUUAAAGCAGGCUCGCGCUUGAAUACAUUAGCAUGGAAUAAUGAAAUAGGACG
RNAcentral lists this ribosomal RNA (180 nucleotides) under uncultured Glomeromycotina. Its description in RNAcentral is "partial small subunit ribosomal RNA". Lineage: Eukaryota; Fungi; Glomeromycota. The record is from RNAcentral.